UAACGCCAUUCUGUGCAUUAAUUCUGAAUUGCAUAAGGUCUGGAGUAUCUUCCUGUAUAUCUCUGCCAAUAAGUAAGGAAAGAAAUUGCUUCAGCGUGGGGGCCACAGACUUUCAGCAUCCUUUUUCCGGAUGCUUCACCAUCCACAGCUCAAGGCUGGGAGUGAAGGAGGUGCCCUAGAUGCCCUCACCACUGGACGCGCAGAUGGGCGAGGACAAGUUGUAAUUCUGAGCAUUGCAUUAGAAAGGGCCUAAUAAGAGGGAGUGACAUGUGCCUGAAGAACUACCUGACUGCUGCUAAUAUAGAAAGUAUUAGGUCCAUGCUGAGACCAAAGUUGAAUCCAAGGCUAUAAUCUGGUCUUACAUACACCAGGAGAUUCCUCAUGUUGGUUGACUAAAAAUGCAGAAAGCUAUGGCUGAAGCAAGGAUCCAUCCCUGAUACAAUGAGAGAAUGAUGGUACCCGGGGAUGUGCUGGUUGUUAAAAGUUUUCAUCAGAGCUGAGUGUUGAAUUUUGUCAUAUACUUUUUCUGCAUCUAUUAAGUAGAUACCUAGAAGACCGUUAUUUACCUCUUUGGGUGUUAAUCCAGGCACAAGCCUUGCCACAGUUUCCCGGUUGAUGGUCUGGUGGAUUCCACUUAAUGGGUUCUCAGCACUGUUUUCAUCAUGAAAGACUGAAGAAUUACCAUUGGCUCAUUUUAUAGGAAAGCAAGACCUCCAUGAAAUAGCAGAGUGCGUGAAAUCAUCAGUGUUUGCCCUGACAACAGUAGUAAGUAAAACAAGGACCACCAACUGGGCUUAUUCAAAUGGGAGAGAUUAAGAACUGGAACCAGUAAGAGAGAAAACUGGGAGGAAUACAAGGAGAAAAACAAAACAGAACAAACAUCAGCUUCUGUUUAUUCUUACUCGCCAGUUUCUCAUUCUGGGCAGAGAUUUUGAUGAGGUGUUUACUCACCUCCUCUCAACCUUUCCUGGAAUAGCUACAUUUAAUAGUGCAAGAUCACAAAGUCUGAGAAGAAAAUCAUACGAGAACUUCAGCCUGAAUCAUGUCACUCCAGGUAAUCUGGAUACUAAGAACCAAACAAAAUGGACUGAAUAAAAGCAGCCUGAAGUUCACCGGGUUUAUUUUGCCUCUGCCUGCUCUCAGAGAGACGUGAAUUUGCAGUGAUUGACUGCAGUUUCAUAUUAACGGAACAGAUUGGAGACAGAAAUCAUCCUCAGGCCUUAAUCCCAGGGAAAUCAGAAAAACAACUUCUUCUAAAGCUAUUUACAGGGCAGCAGAUGUGAAGGUUUGUCUUGGAUUGGACACAGCAUAACAAACAACUUUUUGAAAUAAGCUCAAUUUAGAAGGAACAGAAUUCGCAUUACGGACUAAAAAGUAUUCUUCGUCAAUAAAGACUUUGGAUUCUUGUCAGGACUUUCCCAGGAUUAGAGUGACAUUUGUCUACAUUCAAAGAUGCCUUAGAAGAAACUCAGCAGGCAACCACCUUUGAUAGGAGCUGCUGUAAUUCACCUGACCGCUGAGAACCUGGAAAUCCUGCAAUCCACAGCCAAGCUUCUUGAGCACAACUUCUUGUUUCAGAGGCAAGAAAAUGGUUUCUUCCCUACCAUAGCCUCACUGGAUGCACAGACUGGGGAUCCUUGAUGGCACAUUUUUAUAAUUUUCCUAAUUGUAUUUGAAGCAGUUUCAAUAGUGGCAUAUAAUCACAACUUUCCUACUCGUUGGGACA
Molecule: long non-coding RNA, 1726 nt
Organism: Physeter macrocephalus (sperm whale)
Lineage: Eukaryota; Metazoa; Chordata; Mammalia; Artiodactyla; Physeteridae
Exons: 14
Source: RefSeq, a predicted model, not a curated record